GGUCCCGUAGUGUAGCGAUUAACACGCCUCUCUGUCACAGAGGAGACCGCGGGUUUGAUUCCCGUCGGGACCGCCA
RNAcentral lists this transfer RNA (76 nucleotides) under Malacoplasma sp. RNAcentral describes it as "tRNA-Asp". It matches the Rfam family "tRNA". Rfam says of the family: Transfer RNA (tRNA) molecules are approximately 80 nucleotides in length. Their secondary structure includes four short double-helical elements and three loops (D, anti-codon, and T loops). Further hydrogen bonds mediate the characteristic L-shaped molecular structure. tRNAs have two regions of fundamental functional importance: the anti-codon, which is responsible for specific mRNA codon recognition, and the 3' end, to which the tRNAs corresponding amino acid is attached (by aminoacyl-tRNA synthetases). tRNAs cope with the degeneracy of the genetic code in two manners: having more than one tRNA (with a specific anti-codon) for a particular amino acid; and 'wobble' base-pairing, i.e. permitting non-standard base-pairing at the 3rd anti-codon position. Lineage: Bacteria; Bacillati; Mycoplasmatota; Mycoplasmoidales; Mycoplasmoidaceae. The record is from RNAcentral.